UUGUUUAUUUUGUUUUUAGUUUCUGGGGUCCCCGUGCUUCUGGAAGGUGAAGCGGGAGGGAGUGACCCCCGCACCCCUCAGUCCCCCUACGACGUCGCCUCCAUAGCCUGCGGAGAAGCGGGGACCGCGCGCAUCGCCUCGCCUCACAGCGGAACGCCGCGCACUCGGAGCCGGCACAGCUCGGCGGGUUUUGGUUUUUUGCACUGAAUGUAACCUAGAUUCAUCCGCACGGGCUUGUGUUGCCCCAGGAUACUGUCAAAGGCAAUAUUUGUGAGUUUCUGCAGAGUUUUGCACAGUCUGUUCCCAUGCAAACCAAUGAGGGAGAAGUAUCGGAAGAAAGCAGUUCCAAGGUGGAACAGGAGGAUUUUGUAAUGGAAGGGCAUGGCAAGACUCCACCUCCUGGUGAAGAAAGCAAACAGU
Propithecus coquereli (Coquerel's sifaka) is the source of this 420-nucleotide long non-coding RNA. RefSeq lists it as uncharacterized. NCBI's taxonomy places the organism in Eukaryota, Metazoa, Chordata, Mammalia, Primates, Indriidae. The transcript has 4 exons. The record is from RefSeq and is a predicted model, not a curated record.